Phlebotomus argentipes is the source of this 3100-nucleotide RNA transcript. RefSeq lists it as uncharacterized. The transcript is spliced from 9 exons. Lineage: Eukaryota; Metazoa; Arthropoda; Insecta; Diptera; Psychodidae. The record is from RefSeq and is a predicted model, not a curated record.
AAAAAAUUCCACGACGGACAGCUGGGGAGAAAAAACUCCGUUUUAGUGCAAUUUGUAGUGAAUUUCAUAGGAUUUUUUGCUCGUACUUACCUGGCGUAGGUGUUAAUUGUGUUUCUUAUUGCGAGUGAUUUCCGAGAAAGCGGAUUAGGCUUUUCAGGAUGAACUCGACGGAUGUGUCUUCUCCGGAGGAGAAGAAGAAGAGGCACAAGAAGGACAAGAAGAAAAAGCAUAAAAAAUCCGGGAAGAGCGAUCGGAUUGACAAGGGAAAGAAGCAUAAGCACAAAAAGCGUCGAAAGGAGGAGGAAGCUGAACAGGAAGUUGUUCCUAUUGUUGUGCUGGAUGAUGAGCCAGUGCCCAAGAAACCCCUGGUGGAGGCCUCCAAUGGGCACUCUGUGGGGAAGGGCAAGAAGAGCGGCAAGAUCCCAACGGACCCAACGAAACUGGUGGAGAUUAUCACGAAGAGCUUGGAUCCAACAUCAGGACCAGCCCUGGAGAUUGUCUCAUCGGAGUCUGAUGACACUGAGGGUCUCGUGGAAGAUGUCGCCAGUCCGGACGUGGCGGUGAUCGAAGAUGAUCUCAACUUGGAGGAGUUGAUGAAGCAGAAGGCGCUACUGCAGGCGCGUCUCGGCGCCUAUUUAAGUGACUCCGAGGUUGACGAUGGACAUAGUAAGGGAAAAAGUGGUGAGAAAGAUGGUAAAGGGAAAACAGAAUCAGAUGUCAUUUUAUUGGACGAUUCCAGUGGUGAAGCGAUCACGAAGGUCGACGCUGCCAAAAGGCAUCGCAGUCGGUCGCAAAGCCACAAUCGGAAAAUCAUUGAUCGUCGUGGGCGCGAUGAGAAGCCCGAUAGGAGGCGUCAGGAGGUUGAAAAAAGUCGCGGCCGGCGUGAGAUAGAGAAUCGCCAGAAGGAAGACCUUAGGCGAGAGCUGGAGCGUGACAGGGAGCGCAAUUUCCGGGAGCGGGAGCGCAUGAAGCGGCACGAGAGGCAGGAGAUGGAGAGGAAUCGCCAGCGCGAUCGAUCCUUCAUGGCCAGACGCGGCAGGAGUCCCGACAGGCGCAUGGACAGAAGUCCAGAGAAGUUCAGGAUGCGUCCGGGUGGCAGGGAGAAAUUCAGAGAUCGUCGCGAGAAGGAGGAGGUGAAGGAUAAGUACAAGGAUUCACUCAGUGAGGGUCAAGUGCAUCCCAAGAAUCGUAAGGAUUCCAGUAGCGAGAGUGAAAUGGGGGAUAUUGACAUCAAAGAUGAGGAGGAUGAAGAGAAGAUCAUCGAGCAGAGGAGGAAGCGUCGUGAGGAAUUGCUUAAGAAAUUGGGAGCAGGAAGUGAAGACAGCAAUCCGGCGAUGACUUCUCGAGAGCCAUCAGUGUGCCACAUUUCAGAGACGACGACACCAAAAAUCAAGACUCCUCCACAAACACCGAAGAAGGACAAAAGCCCCGAGAAGGCAAUUGAAGACUCUCUAACGCCACCGAUUCCGGCCUCGAGGAAGGAUUUGCAGGCGAUGAUGCAGGAGAAAAAGCAGCCAGUAAAGGAGGUUCGUCCAGUGAAGGAGAAUAAUGCCAAAAGGGGAGAAUGGGACAUGUUUGCUGAGCAAGACAUUGCUUCAAACUAUGAUUCUCCCAGUACAAUAGUCGCCAGCAAGCAGACUCACGAGAAUCCUGCGCUCACGGACAACUGGGAUGACGCUGAGGGUUACUAUCGUGUGAGAAUUGGUGAAAUUUUGGACAAUCGCUACAUUGUAUCGAGCUACACUGGUCAGGGUGUGUUCAGUAACGUCGUUCGGGCGAGGGAUCAGGCCAGAGGGAAUGUGAACGUGGCGGUGAAGAUCAUCAGGAACAAUGAGAUCAUGCACAAGACAGGCCUUCGCGAGUUAGAAAUCUUGAAGAAGCUCAAUGAUGCCGAUCCGGAUGAUAGAUUCCACUGCCUGCGUCUGUUCAGGCACUUUUUCCACAAGCAGCAUCUCUGCAUGGUACUAGAGCCGCUCUCAAUGAACCUGAGAGAGGUGCUGAAGAAGUACGGCAAGAAUGUGGGACUGCACAUCAAGGCAGUGCGGAGUUACACGCAGCAACUCUUGCUUUCUCUAAAGCUGUUGAAAAAGACAGGCAUUCUGCAUGCUGACAUAAAGCCAGACAACAUUCUAGUGAAUGAGAGUCAUUUGAUCCUCAAGCUUUGCGAUUUUGGCUCGGCAUCAGUCAUCACGGACAACGAGAUCACGCCAUAUCUUGUGUCGCGAUUCUAUCGCGCUCCUGAAAUCAUUCUAGGCAUUCAGUAUGACUAUGGGAUUGAUAUGUGGUCGGCGGGAUGCACAAUCUAUGAGCUGUACACAGGAAAGAUCCUAUUCAGCGGGAAAUCUAACAAUCAGAUGCUGAAGUUCUUCAUGGAUCUCAAGGGGAAGUUCCCGAACAAAGUCAUUCGCCGAGGUCAGUUUCGGGAGCAGCACUUUGAUCAGAAUUGCAACUUUCUCUACCAUGAGAUUGAUAAGAUCACAGAAAGGGAAAAGAUUGUGGUUCAGUCGGUGAUCAAGCCGACCCGCGAUUUGCAGCAAGAAUUGAUUGCUGAUCAAAAUCUGCCCGAGGAUCAGCACAGGAAAGUGACUCAGCUGAAGGAUUUGCUGGAGAAACUCUUCGUGUUGGAUCCGGCGAAGAGAAUAUCAUUGAAUCAGGCUCUAGCGCAUCCCUUUAUUCAAGAUAAGAUGUGAAGAAAUAACCCUGGUUUCGGCGAGAUCCUCAUCCCGGAUGGGUUUGAGUGCCUUUUAGUGCCGAUCCCGUUAAGAGAUUAACGCUUGAGGCAUUAAUGAAGGGUUAGUGAAUUGUGACUCGAUGAAUCUUUGAAAUGAGACUCAAUUUUGUUUCUGAUGAAGUCUUACAAAAUGUCUUUCUAGUUUUUUUCUCGUUCCUCUGUCUUGCAGAUUGACCCGGAAGCACACAGAGAGUGGUUCAGAAUGCUCGGCUAAACCUAGUCUCCAAAUUCAUGCCACCAGAUAGACUGAAGGAAAGAUCUUCACUCGUGACGGGCAAGGCGAUGAUGUCCCUGAUGGAUUCACAGUCCUGGAGUGUUGGCAGAGAUUCUUUCUGUGUGCUUCGCAGGGCAAUCUUUAUAUGUUUGCAU